UCUCCGUUGGUGAACCAGCGGAGGGAUCAUUACCGAGUUUACAACUCCCAAACCCAAUGUGAACGUUACCAUACUGUUGCCUCGGCGGGGUCACGCCCCGGGUGCGUCGCAGCCCCGGAACCAGGCGCCCGCCGGAGGAACCAACCAAACUCUUUCUGUAGUCCCCUCGCGGACGUUAUUUCUUACAGCUCUGAGCAAAAAUUCAAAAUGAAUCAAAACUUUCAACAACGGAUCUCUUGGUUCUG
This 245-nucleotide unclassified non-coding RNA is filed under the name plant metagenome. RNAcentral describes it as "partial contains small subunit ribosomal RNA, internal transcribed spacer 1, and 5.8S ribosomal RNA". The record is from RNAcentral.